This 72-nucleotide transfer RNA is filed under the name Ornithorhynchus anatinus (platypus). It matches the Rfam family "tRNA". Rfam says of the family: Transfer RNA (tRNA) molecules are approximately 80 nucleotides in length. Lineage: Eukaryota; Metazoa; Chordata; Mammalia; Monotremata; Ornithorhynchidae. The record is from Rfam by way of RNAcentral.
GGGAGCGUGGCUCAGUGGAAAGAGCCCGGGCUUGGGAGUCAGAGGUCAUGGGUUCGAAUCCCUACUCUGCUA